UACGAGAGGCCCAAACGUUAUUCGGAUUUACUGGGCUUAAAGAGUUCGUAGGCGGCUUGGAAAGUGGGGUGUGAAAGCCCUCGGCUCAACCGAGGAAUUGCGCUCCAAACUACCGAGCUUGAGUAGGCUAGAGGUGAGCAGAACUGAUGGUGGAGCGGUGAAAUGCGUUGAUAUCAUCAGGAAUACCGGAGGCGAAGGCGGCUCACUGGGACCUAACUGACGCUGAGGCGCGAAAGCCAGGGGAGCAAACGGG
This 253-nucleotide ribosomal RNA is filed under the name uncultured bacterium. RNAcentral's name for it is "partial 16S ribosomal RNA". It matches the Rfam family "Bacterial small subunit ribosomal RNA", at positions 524 to 776 of the family's 1533-position model. The record is from RNAcentral.